ACAUGCCUACGACAUAGCGUUAAUGCACCAGAUCCCAUUAGAACUCCGUAGUUAAGCGCGUUCAGGCUAGAGUAGUAAUGGGAUGGGUGACCUCCUUGGAAGUCCUAGUGUUUUACAUGCC
Non-coding RNA from Picea glauca (white spruce), 121 nucleotides. NCBI's taxonomy places the organism in Eukaryota, Viridiplantae, Streptophyta, Pinopsida, Pinales, Pinaceae. The record is from Rfam.